This 328-nucleotide ribosomal RNA is filed under the name uncultured bacterium. Its description in RNAcentral is "bacterial SSU rRNA". It matches the Rfam family "Bacterial small subunit ribosomal RNA", at positions 166 to 507 of the family's 1533-position model. The record is from RNAcentral.
GUACCGGAUACCGACCCUCGGGAGGCAUCUCCAGGGGGUGGAAAGAACUUCGGUCAAGGAUGGACUCGCGGCCUAUCAGCUAGUUGGUGAGGUAACGGCCCACCAAGGCGACGACGGGUAGCCGGCCUGAGAGGGUGACCGGCCACACUGGGACUGAGACACGGCCCAGACUCCUACGGGAGGCAGCAGUGGGGAAUAUUGCACAAUGGGCGAAAGCCUGAUGCAGCAACGCCGCGUGAGGGACGACGGCCUUCGGGUUGUAAACCUCUUUAGUAGGGAAGAAGCGAAAGUGACGGUACCUGCAGAAAAAGCACCGGCUAACUACGUG